Long non-coding RNA from Schistocerca serialis cubense, 431 nucleotides. RefSeq lists it as uncharacterized. NCBI's taxonomy places the organism in Eukaryota, Metazoa, Arthropoda, Insecta, Orthoptera, Acrididae. The transcript has 3 exons. The record is from RefSeq and is a predicted model, not a curated record.
CUGUGAUUCCUGCUAUUUCUGCGACUUCUGUGAUUUCUGUGACUCCUGCGAUUUCUGCGAGUUACCACUGUAUGAAAAAGUUACAUCUGUCCACACAGAAAAUUGCAUCUCAACAAACCUGUCACUGGUACGCGAACUACAUUUUAGUCACUCAGUAAAGUGAUAACUCAAAAUAUCAUUGUCAACAGAUCUGGAGAAAUUGCCACUGCGUCUUUAGACCGUUUUCGUCAGACGAGAGACACAGUUCUGACUCUGAUUGCUGGUUGCUUUACGUAUCUAUCCACAUCAAGGCUGUUGAGAGAGACUCGUGAAGAUUCAAGACAGCUCUUAGAAGAUUUUGCAGUUUAAAAGUGACAUAAUUGUGCAGAUGAGUGAUUAAACUGUGUUUUAUUGAAGUAGUUGUGCGAUUUUAAAGGAAUAAUAAAUGUUAA